UACGGAGGAUCCGAGCGUUAUCCGGAUUUAUUUGGUUUAAAGGGUGCGCAGGCGGGAUGUUAAGUCGGCGGUGAAAUUUUGCAGCUCAACUGUAAAAGUGCCUUCGAUACUGGCUUUCUUGAGUGUGGAUGAAGUAGGCGGAAUUUGUGGUGUAGCGGUGAAAUGCUUAGAUAUCACGAGGAACUCCGAUUGCGCAGGCAGCUUACUAAACCACUACUGACGCUCAUGCACGAAGGCGUGGGGAUCAAACAGGAUUAGAUA
This 261-nucleotide ribosomal RNA is filed under the name uncultured prokaryote. RNAcentral's name for it is "partial 16S ribosomal RNA". It matches the Rfam family "Bacterial small subunit ribosomal RNA", at positions 524 to 784 of the family's 1533-position model. The record is from RNAcentral.